UACGGGGGGGUAAGCGUUGUCCGGAAUUAUUGGGCGUAAAGAGCUCGUAGGCGGUCUGUUGCGUCGGCUGUGAAAACCCGGGGCUCAACUCCGGGCCUGCAGCCGAUACGGGCAGACUAGAGUUCGGCAGGGGAGACUGGAAUUCCUGGUGUAGCGGUGAAAUGCGCAGAUAUCAGGAGGAACACCGAUGGCGAAGGCAGGUCUCUGGGCCAUUACUGACACUGAGACGGCGAAAGCGUGGGGAGCGAACAGG
RNAcentral lists this ribosomal RNA (253 nucleotides) under uncultured bacterium. RNAcentral describes it as "partial 16S ribosomal RNA". It matches the Rfam family "Bacterial small subunit ribosomal RNA", at positions 524 to 776 of the family's 1533-position model. The record is from RNAcentral.